AUAAACAUUCAUAUGAUGCACCACGCCGUACACCGGGGUACCGUAGUACCCCGGGGUACGGCGUUGUGCAGCGCCAUCUCGUGUUGUAAUAGUGUACAGUUACAUUGUUGUCAUGGUGAUCACGGUCGUAUGAUCGGU
This is a long non-coding RNA of Lytechinus variegatus (green sea urchin), 138 nucleotides long. RefSeq lists it as uncharacterized. The record is from RefSeq and is a predicted model, not a curated record. The transcript has 3 exons. NCBI's taxonomy places the organism in Eukaryota, Metazoa, Echinodermata, Echinoidea, Temnopleuroida, Toxopneustidae.